AAAUCCUCAGCGAGGAGGAGCGCGCCACCGAGAAUGUCUACAUCCAGAAAAGAUUGUUCAAUUCAUGACAAUUGCAGAUAUUGGCGGCUGCUCCUUUUCUUUUAAUAAUUUGUUCAACAUUGAUAAUGGAUCCAUCUCACUUAAACGGAUAAGAUCACUUAACCGAUAAGAUCAAGCUUCACAUAUUUGUAUUAUUUUUUUUUUAAACCAUAGAGCUGCACCCUAUAUAAGUGUAAGUUGCUCUGUUACUAAUUUACUAUUAGCAGUAGAAACAAACAAACGAACAAACUAGAAAGCAAAAAGCGGUGGCGGCAAUGAGAUCCGGUCAAAGCCUGGCGGUGCUAACUCGAGCGUUGAUCACUCGCUCCAUGGAGUCGUCUCGGGGAGCCACUCGCUACUUGAGCGCAGGCACAGGCAAAGUCCUCAGCGAGGAGGAGCGUGCCGCCGAGAAUGUCUACAUCCAGAGAAAGGAGAGGGAGAGAUUGGCGAAGCAGAAGGCUGAGAAGGAAAAGGCCGAGAAAGCGAAAGAAAAUGCUGAUAAGAAGGCUGAUGGGACACAUUAAAAGCUGAAAUGGUGAUGGGCACUUUGGCAGUACCUGAAAAACUUUUCCUUUGGAAGUAAUCAUGAAUAAUAACAGUGUAUAUAACUUUUGUGAGAAUCACUCUGCGUUGAGUAUCGGUGUUCUUCGUGGCAUCUUUUCUUAAACAUUAAUGGGAUAACUUGGAUCUUUUUAUGAUCUUCCUGUCUUUUAUGUGAUUGUUUUUACUCAGUUCCGUUAGUCUGUUGAGAGUGUCAUUUUCUGCUCGUAUCGUGUUUGUGGCAUACUUUGGUUCAUAAAUUUCCACAUUUAUGAUGAAACUUAUAUAUGUUAUGCUGCGGGUAACGGAAAUAGGAUCUCAUUCAAAAUUCAGCUUGCAUCGCAUACUGUUUCUUAGUGAUUUGUUUGUUUGCUUUUGAUUGAUUUGCUUAUUUUCUGCUGGAAUGAAUAUUGACGAAUUGCCUAAUUGUUUCGUAUGUAAUAAAACGUUUUAAGCCUGCUAAGUUUUGGAUAGUUUUGACUAAACAUAGUUGAUCCUUAUGAAUUUCAUGUAUUA
This 1095-nucleotide small RNA is filed under the name Malus domestica (apple). Its description in RNAcentral is "sRNA MD07G0056900". Lineage: Eukaryota; Viridiplantae; Streptophyta; Magnoliopsida; Rosales; Rosaceae. The record is from RNAcentral.